GAUGAACGCUGGCGGCGUGCUUAACACAUGCAAGUCGAACGAAGCACUUUAUUUGAUUUCCUUCGGGACUGAUUAUUUUGUGACUGAGUGGCGGACGGGUGAGUAACGCGUGGGUAACCUGCCUUGUACAGGGGGAUAACAGUUGGAAACGGCUGCUAAUACCGCAUAAGCGCACGGCAUCGCAUGAUGCAGUGUGAAAAACUCCGGUGGUAUAAGAUGGACCCGCGUUGGAUUAGCUAGUUGGUGAGGUAACGGCCCACCAAGGCGACGAUCCAUAGCCGACCUGAGAGGGUGACCGGCCACAUUGGGACUGAGACACGGCCCAAACUCCUACGGGAGGCAGCAGUGGGGAAUAUUGCACAAUGGGCGAAAGCCUGAUGCAGCGACGCCGCGUGAGCGAAGAAGUAUUUCGGUAUGUAAAGCUCUAUCAGCAGGGAAGAUAAUGACAGUACCUGACGAAGAAGCACCGGCUAAAUACGUG
This 481-nucleotide ribosomal RNA is filed under the name uncultured bacterium. RNAcentral's name for it is "partial 16S ribosomal RNA". It matches the Rfam family "Bacterial small subunit ribosomal RNA", at positions 28 to 507 of the family's 1533-position model. The record is from RNAcentral.